GUGGGGAAUAUUGGGCAAUGGGCGAAAGCCUGACCCAGCAACGCCGCGUGAAGGAUGAAGGUCUUCGGAUUGUAAACUUCUUUGAUUGGGGAAGAAAAAAAUGACCUACCCAAAGAACAAGUCACGGCUAACUACGUGCCAGCAGCCGCGGUAAUACGUAGGUGACAAGCGUUAUCCGGAUUUACUGGGUGUAAAGGGCGUGUAGGCGGCUUUGCAAGUCAGAAGUGAAAUUCCCGGGCUUAACCUGGGCGCUGCUUCUGAAACUGUAAAGCUUGAGUACUGGAGGGGAAAGCGGAAUUCCUAGUGUAGCGGUAAAAUGCACAGAUAUUAGGAGGAACACCGGUGGCGAAGGCGGCUUUCUGGACAGUAACUGACGCUGAGGCGCGAAAGCGUGGGGAGCAAACAGG
RNAcentral lists this ribosomal RNA (407 nucleotides) under uncultured rumen bacterium. RNAcentral's name for it is "bacterial SSU rRNA". It matches the Rfam family "Bacterial small subunit ribosomal RNA", at positions 354 to 776 of the family's 1533-position model. The record is from RNAcentral.